GUAAUGAAGUCUUUUAAGAUGACUUUACAUUUAUUCACACAUGUUUGAUCAAACAGGAUGAUGUUCAGAAACAGCUGAGGGACACUCUGCUGGAAUCUAUUGAGGUGUCAUUCAACCCAGACCAACAGUUAUUCCCAGAUUUUGAGAAUGAGUUUGAGUUGGUGAAGAAACACUAUGAUGACCUGAGUCCAAAGAAGAAGACGUAGUAGUGUUUUAGAUGUGAUCUGUUGAAGAUGUUGUGAGUGGAAGCAGAAGAUGAACUGUAGCCUGCCACAUUCGACCAGACAACAAUGAACAACAGAGCAACUCAUCUCCUGUUUUUCUCAGCUUUUCAAUAUUUACUGAUGUUUUCAUAUAGUAUGUAUGUUUGUAGAUUUUUUAAACCAGUAGUGAAUCUUGCCACUUCCCCCUCCCCUCGUCAUGUGUCUGUUCUGUUUUCUUAUCAGCUGGUGCACUGUUAGACAUGAGUAGUCAUGUUAUGUGAGAAUACAAUAGGGCUGGGUUGCCCAAACUUAUUUUAAAAAAAUCUUUGAAUCUUUACAUAAUAUUUUAACUUUUAGUGUAUUGUGGAAGGAAAUGUGUAAUUGUUUUUAAUCACUGUAUAGCAUGUUAUAAAUAAUGGUACUUUUUAUUUUAGCCAACAAAAUUCUAAACAGGGAACAACUUGUCAAACAUUGUUAAGUCAAAAAGCCGAGCCCCUGCACCAAGUCUUCACCUCCACUCCUGGGCCCUGUCUCCUCUCACCUCUGCUCCCUCCUCUUCCUCCUCACCGCUCCUCCCCUCUCCCCUCCCCUUUUUAUGAGUUGAUGAGGUUAUUUUUAGUCUGGCCAGUAGGUGGCAGCAAGACCAAAACACCAGGUAACCAGGUGUGUCUCUGGAAUCAUUUCAUUAGGCCCAGGUGUGCAAACAAAUCAAACCAAACCAAGGAAUGUGAAGGAAACAGAGACACUGGUGAGGAAAUUUACCUUUAAAAUUAGUUUUAAGUUUAAAAGAAAUUGUAAAUAAAUUCAAUUUAAGAUUGAAG
Boleophthalmus pectinirostris (great blue-spotted mudskipper) is the source of this 1024-nucleotide long non-coding RNA. RefSeq lists it as uncharacterized. Lineage: Eukaryota; Metazoa; Chordata; Actinopteri; Gobiiformes; Gobiidae. The transcript has 3 exons. The record is from RefSeq and is a predicted model, not a curated record.